GCUGGGCAUGGUGGUGCGUGCCUGUAAUCCCAGCUACUUGGGAGGCUGAGGCAGGAGAAUCUCUUGAAACCAGGAGAUGGAGGUUGCAGUGAGCCAAGAUUGUGCUACUGCACUCCAGCCUGGGUUACAGAGUGAGUCUCCGUCUCAC
Callithrix jacchus (white-tufted-ear marmoset) is the source of this 148-nucleotide unclassified non-coding RNA. It matches the Rfam family "Metazoan signal recognition particle RNA". From Rfam's summary of the family: The signal recognition particle (SRP) is a universally conserved ribonucleoprotein. The record is from Ensembl. Lineage: Eukaryota; Metazoa; Chordata; Mammalia; Primates; Cebidae.